GACAACAGCUCAGGGCAGAGCAUCUUCUUUGCAAGCAGAAGAUCCCAGGUUCAACCCCUGCUGGCGUCC
Molecule: non-coding RNA, 69 nt
Organism: Podarcis lilfordi (Lilford's wall lizard)
Lineage: Eukaryota; Metazoa; Chordata; Lepidosauria; Squamata; Lacertidae
Source: the annotation of a GenBank genome assembly